This 253-nucleotide ribosomal RNA is filed under the name uncultured bacterium. RNAcentral describes it as "partial 16S ribosomal RNA". It matches the Rfam family "Bacterial small subunit ribosomal RNA", at positions 524 to 776 of the family's 1533-position model. The record is from RNAcentral.
UACAGAGGUCCCAAGCGUUGUUCGGAUUCACUGGGCGUAAAGGGUGCGUAGGUGGCAGGGUAAGUUUGAUGUGAAAUCCCCGGGCUUAACUCGGGAACUGCAUUGAAUACUAUCCUGCUUGAGGAUCGGAGGGGAGACUGGAAUUCUCGGUGUAGCAGUGAAAUGCGUAGAGAUCGAGAGGAACACCAGUGGCGAAGGCGAGUCUCUGGACGAUUCCUGACACUGAGGCACGAAAGCUAGGGGAGCAAACAGG